GAGAGAGACAUGCGCGCAUAUCAAUAAGCGGAGGAAAAGGAAACUAACAAGGAUUCCCCUAGUAACGGCGAGUGAAGCGGGAAGAGCUCAAAUUUGAAAUCUUAAAGGGUUUCCCUUUACGAAUUGUAGUUUAAAGAAGUGUUUUCUGUUGAGGUUUUGGUAAAAGUUCUUUGGGAAUAGGACAUCAUAGAGGGUGAGAAUCCCGUAUUUGACCUUUACUUUCAACUUUGUGGAUACACUUUCAAAGAGUCGGAUUGUUUGGGAAUGCAGUCCAAAAUGGGUGGUAAAUUUCAUCUAAAGCUAAAUAUUGGCGAGAGACCGAUAGCGAACAAGUACCGUGAGGGAAAGAUGAAAAGAACUUUGAAAAGAGAGUUAAACAGUACGUGAAAUUGUCAAAAGGGAAGCGUUUGACACCAGUGUUGUUUUUCUGAAAAUCAAUUAAAGAACUGUUUAUGCUAAGCUUGUUUAGACUUUAUCAGCUAACUGUUUAGUUUUGAGCUUUUCUUUAAUGCACUUUUCAGUUAACAAGUCAACAUCAAUUUCUUUUGCUGUAAAAAAGCUUGAGGAAGGUGGCUUGAGAUUCGUCUUAAGUGUUUAUAGCCUCUUGCCUAUGCAGUCGGAGAGAUUGAGGUCUGCAGCGUAGAUCCUUCGGGGCUAAAUGCAUUUGUGCUAAGUUAUAGCAUUUUAUAGACAACUUGUUGACUAUGAUUUGUCUUGUAGCUUACUCGCUUAUGUUAUUUUACCUACGCUUAGGAUGUUGACGCAUGAGAUAUACGC
Molecule: ribosomal RNA, 777 nt
Filed under: uncultured Neocallimastigales
Lineage: Eukaryota; Fungi; Neocallimastigomycota; Neocallimastigomycetes; Neocallimastigales
Description: partial large subunit ribosomal RNA
Rfam family: Eukaryotic large subunit ribosomal RNA
Source: RNAcentral